CAAAAAAUUCGUUAUUUAGCGGGGGUUAGUUUUAAUAACCCCCGCAAAUUUCAUUAAAUUUAUAUUAAUUAGGGAUCUUUUAAUAACCCCGCAGAUUUAGUUAAGUGACUCCUGGUUUUCAGUGUUUGAAUCUCACUCACUUUUUCUCUCACUCACGUUAAUUUCGUUUUCAAUCUCUCGCUCUCUCGUUUCACACUCUCCAGAUCCAUACUAUUGAUUCCUUUUCCUUCUCACCAUCAAGAACUCUCACUCUCAACUCUAAACCCUUGAUUUUCAUCUCUGAACCCUCGAUCUCAAUCUCUCUCAGCCAUGGAUUCUCGAUCCUCAUCUCUCUGAAAUCUCACUCUCCAUUCUCGUUGUUGAAGGUCUCAAUCUCAGUUUCUCUGGAUUCAACGAUUCCUCAAGCUUCACUGAUCGGAUUGCACAAGCUCCACUUUAACCAAAGGUCUCAAUCUCUCUGGAUUCGGCGAUUCCUCAAGCUUCGACCAUGGAUUGAAAGACUCAAUCUCUCUCAGCCACGGAUUGAAGUGUGAUCGUAUUGAGACUAAGGAUUUUUACAACUUGUGUGUUUGGUUCAUCAAUUACCUCUAGCUCUUUAUUUUAGGCAAGUACGAAUCAGAAAUUGAUGUCUACUAACCUCUUAUCUGAUGAAUAUGUGAAUGGAGUGAAAGAGUUGUUACUUUUGCGGUUAAGCAUGCAAGGAACCAAAAUAGUAUCUUAUGCCCUUGAUUAGAUUGUUGUCAUGGAAUUCGAGUUAAUCCAGUUGAAUUAGAAGAACAUCUAAUUUGUAAUGGAAUCAACGUAUAUACGGUGAAAAAAUCAUUGUGGAUAAAGAAUUGUUUCCAGCGAAGCAGGGGCUAGUGUGAGAUUUCCCUCAUCGUUCAUGGAGACAGAUACAUUCGAGGUUGACCAUGUUGAUGAAAUUGUAGAGGCGGUUGAAGAGGAUCUUCGGGUUUUUCCUGAAAUGUUUGACAGGUUGAAAAGU
Long non-coding RNA from Lotus japonicus, 985 nucleotides. RefSeq lists it as uncharacterized. The record is from RefSeq and is a predicted model, not a curated record. Lineage: Eukaryota; Viridiplantae; Streptophyta; Magnoliopsida; Fabales; Fabaceae. The transcript has 3 exons.